UAUUGCUCAGCAGUUCACAGAGCUUUAGUUACGCCGUCUCUGACUCUGGUUACAGCAGUCAAAUCCUGACAAUGCAACGUCUGCAAGAUGGAAUAGAGAUGGAGGACAGUAGCUCUCUUCUGAAACCUAGCAGACACACCACAUCCCAAGAGCCUCGGCAAGAAACAUGUGCUUUCCUUUGGGAACUCAACACAGUCAACAAAAAAGAUUCCUCUCCUAUGGUGGAUUAAGUUGCCCAGCUGGCUUAGUCAACAGAGUGGCAGUUGAUACCAACACCGAUCACUAGCCUAUACGCAAAGAUUCCCAGCUUUCACUGCUGCGUGACAUCACAUCCUUUGUGGUUUCAGUUGCUA
Long non-coding RNA from Ctenopharyngodon idella (grass carp), 353 nucleotides. RefSeq lists it as uncharacterized. The transcript has 3 exons. The record is from RefSeq and is a predicted model, not a curated record. Lineage: Eukaryota; Metazoa; Chordata; Actinopteri; Cypriniformes; Xenocyprididae.